RNAcentral lists this ribosomal RNA (451 nucleotides) under uncultured bacterium. Its description in RNAcentral is "bacterial SSU rRNA". It matches the Rfam family "Bacterial small subunit ribosomal RNA", at positions 354 to 797 of the family's 1533-position model. The record is from RNAcentral.
GUUAGGAAUAUUCGUCAAUGGGGGAAACCCUGAACGAGCAAUGCCGCGUGAGUGAUGACGGUCCUUUGGAUUGUAAAACUCUGUUGUUAGGGAAGAACGACCUGUAUAGGAAAUGAUACAGGAGUGACGGUACCUUUCAAGAAAGCUCCGGCUAACUACGUGCCAGCAGCCGCGGUAAUACGUAGGGAGCGAGCGUUAUCCGGAUUUAUUGGGUGUAAAGCGUGUGUAGGCGGUUUAUUAAGUCUGAGGUUUAAUCCCGGAGCUUAACUCCGGUUCGCCUCAGAAACUGAUUUACUUGAGUAUGGUAGAGGCAAGUGGAAUUUCUAGUGUAGCGGUAAAAUGCGUAGAUAUUAGAAGGAACACCAGUGGCGAAGGCGACUUGCUGGGCCAUCACUGACGCUGAGACACGAAAGCGUGGGGAGCAAAUAGGAUUAGAAACCCUAGUAGUCCC